UGUCGUCCCCGGUCUGCAAAGAAGAAUCACUACAGAGCGUUUCAAGGAGGCUGGGGUUCCUCUCAGCACCGAAGCAGCUGCACAAGAAACGUCCCGUGUCCCCAGAUGACUGAGGGCAACUGGCUUCUCCGUCCUCAGUAGGCCUCGCCGUGUCUCACCACACCAACGUACGUCUUCCCUGCAGCUUUACUAACCUACGAUCGACAGACGAAAGAGCGCACAAUUAGGUCGUACAAGCUCCUGGCAACCGCUCUGCGCUCGGUUCUAUGAGUUCGAUUUUUGAAGAUUCCACAUAGACGUGACAUCAUGCAAUACUUGUCUUUAUUUCACGUAGCCUGAUGUCCUCCUGAU
This is a long non-coding RNA of Ailuropoda melanoleuca (giant panda), 351 nucleotides long. RefSeq lists it as uncharacterized. Lineage: Eukaryota; Metazoa; Chordata; Mammalia; Carnivora; Ursidae. The record is from RefSeq and is a predicted model, not a curated record. The transcript has 3 exons.